Molecule: ribosomal RNA, 1245 nt
Filed under: uncultured organism
Description: bacterial SSU rRNA
Rfam family: Bacterial small subunit ribosomal RNA
Source: RNAcentral
CAACGCGAUGCUAAUACCGGAUAAAGCACAGGAUUCGCAUGGAUUUUGUGUUAAAGUUGGCUUCGGCUUGCACUUGAGGAUGGACCUGCGCCCCAUUAGUUAGUUGGUGAGGUAACGGCUCACCAAGACUGCGAUGGGUAGCCGGGCUGAGAUGGUGAUCGGCCACACUGGGACUGAGAUACGGCCCAGACUUCUACGGAAGGCAGCAGUAAGGAAUAUUGCGCAAUGGUCGAAAGACUGACGCAGCAACGCCGAGUGCAGGAUGAAGCUUCUAGGAGUAUAAACUGCUUUUAGUUGGGAAGAACAGACAGGUUUCGAAUAGGGACUUGUCUUGACGGUACCUUUAGAAAAAGCCCCGGCUAACUCCGUGCCAGCAGCCGCGGUAACACGGGGGGGGCCAGCGUUGUCCGGAAUUAUUGGGCGUAUAGGGCGCGCAUGCGGGAUGAUCAGUCUGAGGUGAAAUCUUUUGGCUUAACCGAAAGCUUGCCUUGGAUACUAGUCACUUUCUUGGAGGUUUCGGAACCAGGGGAAGUUGGAAUUCCUGGUGUACCGGUGAAAUGCGUAGAUAUCAGGAAGUACACCGGUGGCGAAGCCGGCUUCCUGGUCCGAUACGGACGCUGAGGCGCGCAAGCAUGGGGAGCGAACAGGAUUAGAUACCCUGGUAGUCCACGCUGUAAACGAUGGGUACUAGAUGUUGGUCCUUUUUAGGAUCAGCGCCGCAGCUAACGCAUUAAGUACCCCGCCUGGGGAAUACGACCGCAAGGUUGAAACUCAAAGGAAUUGACGGGGGCCCGCACAAGCGAUGGAGCAUGUGGUUUAAUUCGACGCAACGCGAAGAACCUUACCUGGGCUUGAACCGUAGUCGAAAACCCCUGAAAAGGGGUCCUCAUUCGGGACGGCUAUAGAGCUGCUGCAUGGCUGUCGUCAGCUCGUGCCGUGAGGUGUUGGGUUAAGUCCCGCAACGAGCGCAACCCUUGCCCUUAGUUGCCAUCAGGUUAUGCUGGGAACUCUAAGGGGACUGCCCCGGAUAACGGGGAGGAAGGUGGGGAUGACGUCAAGUCCUCAUGGCCCUUACGUCCAGGGCUACACACGUGCUACAAUGCCCGGUACAAUGGGCAGCGAUACCGCAAGGUGGAGCAAAUCCUUAAACACCGGUCUCAGUUCAGAUUGCAGUCUGCAACUCAGACUGCAUGAAGUCGGAAUCGCUAGUAAUCGCAGGAUCAGCAUGCCGCGGUGAAUACGUUC